UCCCUUUACCAUUAUGUAAUGGCCUUCUUUGUGUCUUUUGAUCUUUGUUGGUUUAAAGUCUGUUUUAUCAAAGACUAGGAUUGCAACCCCCCCUUUUUUUCUUUUUUUUGCUUUCCAUUUGCUUGGCAGAUCUUUCUCCAUCCCGUUAUUUCAAGCCUAUGUGUGUCUCUGCAUGUGAGAUGGGUCUCCUGAAUACAGCACACUGAUGGGU
Molecule: long non-coding RNA, 211 nt
Filed under: Homo sapiens (human)
Lineage: Eukaryota; Metazoa; Chordata; Mammalia; Primates; Hominidae
Description: non-protein coding lnc-SOX30-3:1
Source: RNAcentral